RNAcentral lists this ribosomal RNA (478 nucleotides) under uncultured bacterium. RNAcentral describes it as "partial 16S ribosomal RNA". It matches the Rfam family "Bacterial small subunit ribosomal RNA", at positions 28 to 523 of the family's 1533-position model. The record is from RNAcentral.
GACGAACGCUGGCGGCGUGCUUAACACAUGCAAGUCGAACGGUAAGGCCCUUCGGGGUACACGAGUGGCGAACGGGUGAGUAACACGUGGGUGAUCUGCCCUGCACUUCGGGAUAAGCCUGGGAAACUGGGUCUAAUACCGGAUAGGACCACUGCCUGCAUGGGUGGUGGUGGAAAGCUUUUGCGGUGUGGGAUGGGCCCGCGGCCUAUCAGCUUGUUGGUGGGGUGAUGGCCUACCAAGGCGGCGACGGGUAGCCGGCCGGAGAGGGUGACCGGCCACACUGGGACUGAGAUACGGCCCAGACUCCUACGGGAGGCAGCAGUGGGGAAUAUUGCACAAUGGGCGCAAGCCUGAUGCAGCGACGCCGCGUGAGGGAUGACGGCCUUCGGGUUGUAAACCUCUUUCAGCACCGACGAAGCGCAAGUGACGGUAGGUGCAGAAGAAGGACCGGCCAACUACGUGCCAGCCGCCGCGGUAA